Molecule: ribosomal RNA, 822 nt
Filed under: Pseudomonas migulae
Lineage: Bacteria; Pseudomonadati; Pseudomonadota; Gammaproteobacteria; Pseudomonadales; Pseudomonadaceae
Description: bacterial SSU rRNA
Rfam family: Bacterial small subunit ribosomal RNA
Source: RNAcentral
GAGAAGCUUGCUUCUCUUGAGAGCGGCGGACGGGUGAGUAAUGCCUAGGAAUCUGCCUGGUAGUGGGGGAUAACGCUCGGAAACGGACGCUAAUACCGCAUACGUCCUACGGGAGAAAGCAGGGGACCUUCGGGCCUUGCGCUAUCAGAUGAGCCUAGGUCGGAUUAGCUAGUUGGUGGGGUAAUGGCUCACCAAGGCGACGAUCCGUAACUGGUCUGAGAGGAUGAUCAGUCACACUGGAACUGAGACACGGUCCAGACUCCUACGGGAGGCAGCAGUGGGGAAUAUUGGACAAUGGGCGAAAGCCUGAUCCAGCCAUGCCGCGUGUGUGAAGAAGGUCUUCGGAUUGUAAAGCACUUUAAGUUGGGAGGAAGGGCAGUAACCUAAUACGUUGCUGUCUUGACGUUACCGACAGAAUAAGCACCGGCUAACUCUGUGCCAGCAGCCGCGGUAAUACAGAGGGUGCAAGCGUUAAUCGGAAUUACUGGGCGUAAAGCGCGCGUAGGUGGUUUGUUAAGUUGGAUGUGAAAUCCCCGGGCUCAACCUGGGAACUGCAUUCAAAACUGACAAGCUAGAGUAUGGUAGAGGGUGGUGGAAUUUCCUGUGUAGCGGUGAAAUGCGUAGAUAUAGGAAGGAACACCAGUGGCGAAGGCGACCACCUGGACUGAUACUGACACUGAGGUGCGAAAGCGUGGGGAGCAAACAGGAUUAGAUACCCUGGUAGUCCACGCCGUAAACGAUGUCAACUAGCGCGUUGGGAGCCUUGAGCUCUUAGUGGGGCAGCUAACGCAUUAAGUGAACGACGGCAUGCGCGAUGAAACA